This 379-nucleotide ribosomal RNA is filed under the name Microcystis aeruginosa. Its description in RNAcentral is "bacterial SSU rRNA". It matches the Rfam family "Bacterial small subunit ribosomal RNA", at positions 196 to 593 of the family's 1533-position model. The record is from RNAcentral. Lineage: Bacteria; Bacillati; Cyanobacteriota; Cyanophyceae; Chroococcales; Microcystaceae.
AAAGGUGAAACCUAAUUGGCCUGAAGAAGAGCUUGCGUCUGAUUAGCUAGUUGGUGGGGUAAGAGCCUACCAAGGCGACGAUCAGUAGCUGGUCUGAGAGGAUGAGCAGCCACACUGGGACUGAGACACGGCCCAGACUCCUACGGGAGGCAGCAGUGGGGAAUUUUCCGCAAUGGGCGAAAGCCUGACGGAGCAACGCCGCGUGAGGGAGGAAGGUCUUUGGAUUGUAAACCUCUUUUCUCAAGGAAGAAGUUCUGACGGUACUUGAGGAAUCAGCCUCGGCUAACUCCGUGCCAGCAGCCGCGGUAAUACGGGGGAGGCAAGCGUUAUCCGGAAUUAUUGGGCGUAAAGCGUCCGCAGGUGGUCAGCCAAGUCUGCC